GACGAACGCUGGCGGCGUGCCUAACACAUGCAAGUCGAACGGAGAGGCUUGACAGAACACUUCGGUGGGACGACAAGUUUUCUUAGUGGCGGACGGGUGAGUAACGCGUGAGCAACCUACCUUUGAGAGGGGAAUAACAGUUGGAAACGGCUGCUAAUACCGCAUAAAGUCAGAAAGACGCAUGUUUUUCUGACCAAAGAUUUAUCGCUCAAAGAUGGGCUCGCGUCUGAUUAGAUAGUUGGUGAGGUAACGGCCCACCAAGUCGACGAUCAGUAGCCGGACUGAGAGGUUGAACGGCCACAUUGGGACUGAGACACGGCCCAGACUCCUACGGGAGGCAGCAGUGGGGAAUAUUGCACAAUGGGCGCAAGCCUGAUGCAGCAACGCCGCGUGCGGGAAGACGGCCUCGGUGUAACGACUGUCUUGUGAGAAGAAAUAGACGGUAACCGAUAGGAGGAAGGACCACGGCGUAACUACGUAGCCAGCAGCCGCGGUAACGUCAUA
This 504-nucleotide ribosomal RNA is filed under the name uncultured bacterium. RNAcentral describes it as "bacterial SSU rRNA". It matches the Rfam family "Bacterial small subunit ribosomal RNA", at positions 28 to 529 of the family's 1533-position model. The record is from RNAcentral.